CUGGCGGCGUGCCUAAUACAUGCAAGUCGAACGAGUUCUCGUUGAUGAUCGGUGCUUGCACCGAGAUUCAACAUGGAACGAGUGGCGGACGGGUGAGUAACACGUGGGUAACCUGCCCUUAAGUGGGGGAUAACAUUUGGAAACAGAUGCUAAUACCGCAUAGAUCCAAGAACCGCAUGGUUCUUGGCUGAAAGAUGGCGUAAGCUAUCGCUUUUGGAUGGACCCGCGGCGUAUUAGCUAGUUGGUGAGGUAAUGGCUCACCAAGGCGAUGAUACGUAGCCGAACUGAGAGGUUGAUCGGCCACAUUGGGACUGAGACACGGCCCAAACUCCUACGGGAGGCAGCAGUAGGGAAUCUUCCACAAUGGACGCAAGUCUGAUGGAGCAACGCCGCGUGAGUGAAGAAGGCUUUCGGGUCGUAAAACUCUGUUGUUGGAGAAGAAUGGUCGGCAGAGUAACUGUUGUCGGCGUGACGGUAUCCAACCAGAAAGCCACGGCUAACUACGUGCCAGCAGCCGCGGUAAUACGUAGGUGGCAAGCGUUAUCCGGAUUUAUUGGGCGUAAAGCGAGCGCAGGCGGUUUUUUAAGUCUGAUGUGAAAGCCCUCGGCUUAACCGAGGAAGCGCAUCGGAAACUGGGAAACUUGAGUGCAGAAGAGGACAGUGGAACUCCAUGUGUAGCGGUGAAAUGCGUAGAUAUAUGGAAGAACACCAGUGGCGAAGGCGGCUGUCUGGUCUGUAACUGACGCUGAGGCUCGAAAGCAUGGGUAGCGAACAGGAUUAGAUACCCUGGUAGUCCAUGCCGUAAACGAUGAAUGCUAGGUGUUGGAGGGUUUCCGCCCUUCAGUGCCGCAGCUAACGCAUUAAGCAUUCCGCCUGGGGAGUACGACCGCAAGGUUGAAACUCAAAGGAAUUGACGGGGGCCCGCACAAGCGGUGGAGCAUGUGGUUUAAUUCGAAGCAACGCGAAGAACCUUACCAGGUCUUGACAUCUUUUGAUCACCUGAGAGAUCAGGUUUCCCCUUCGGGGGCAAAAUGACAGGUGGUGCAUGGUUGUCGUCAGCUCGUGUCGUGAGAUGUUGGGUUAAGUCCCGCAACGAGCGCAACCCUUAUGACUAGUUGCCAGCAUUUAGUUGGGCACUCUAGUAAGACUGCCGGUGACAAACCGGAGGAAGGUGGGGAUGACGUCAAAUCAUCAUGCCCCUUAUGACCUGGGCUACACACGUGCUACAAUGGAUGGUACAACGAGUUGCGAGACCGCGAGGUCAAGCUAAUCUCUUAAAGCCAUUCUCAGUUCGGACUGUAGGCUGCAACUCGCCUACACGAAGUCGGAAUCGCUAGUAAUCGCGGAUCAGCACGCCGCGGUGAAUACGUUCCCGGGCCUUGUACACACCGCCCGUCACACCAUGAGAGUUUGUAACACCCGAAGCCGGUGGCGUAACCCUUUUAGGGAGCGAGCCGUCUAAGGUGGGACAAAUGAUUA
This 1479-nucleotide ribosomal RNA is filed under the name Lacticaseibacillus casei. Its description in RNAcentral is "bacterial SSU rRNA". It matches the Rfam family "Bacterial small subunit ribosomal RNA". Lineage: Bacteria; Bacillati; Bacillota; Bacilli; Lactobacillales; Lactobacillaceae. The record is from RNAcentral.